RNAcentral lists this ribosomal RNA (572 nucleotides) under uncultured eukaryote. RNAcentral's name for it is "bacterial SSU rRNA". It matches the Rfam family "Eukaryotic small subunit ribosomal RNA", at positions 4 to 565 of the family's 1831-position model. The record is from RNAcentral.
CUGGUUGAUCCUGCCAGUAGUCAUAUGCUUGUCUCAAAGAUUAAGCCAUGCAUGUCUAAGAAUAAACCCUUGGACGGUGAACCUGCGAAUGGCUCAUUAAAUCAGUUAUUGUUUAUUUGAUGGUACCUUACUACUUGGAUAACCGUAGUAAUUCUAGAGCUAAUACAUGCGCCAAGCCCUGACUUCGGAAAGGGUGCAUUUAUUAGAUUCAAACCAUCGGUCCGUCUGGGCAACUGGGCGUGGCCUUUGAUGGUGAGUCAUAAUAACUUAGCGAAUCGAAUGGCCUUGAGCCGUCGAUGCUUCAUUCAAAUUUCUGCCCUAUCAGCUUUCGAUGGUAGGAUCUUGGCCUACCAUGGCUAUAACGGGUAACGGGGAAUUAGGGUUCGAUUCCGGAGAGGGAGCUUGAGAAACGGCUACCACAUCCAAGGAUGGCAGCAGGCGCGCAAAUUACCCAAUCCCGACACGGGGAGGUAGUGACAAUAAAUAACGAUGCUGGAUUAUUCUUAAUCCGGCAAUUGGAAUGAGAGUGAAUUAAAUCUCCACUCGAGGAACCAUUGGAGGGCAAGUCUGGU